GAGAGGAAAGUGCAUGGCCCUUUACAGCAGAAAUGCAUAGCUAGGGUGAUAUAAUUUAUUCUGGGAAUUGCAUAUGAGGCUGUAUUCCAGAUACCGGGUUAUAUUUGGUGGUUGACUAGAAAAUAGUAUACCAUUUUUCUAUUUAAGGCUAAAACAAACUCCAAGAUGCCUUUUGAGCCUAUAAUUGUCCACGAAAAUAAACAUAUUAUCCCCCCUCCCCCCCGCCCUGCACCAUUCGAACAGCCUUUCUCUCCGGCUCAGUUGGAAGUGCUGUUAGAAAAGUCUCUGCCUCUGCCCGUAUCUGUCUGUCUGCCUUUCUUGGGCAGUCGCAGCUCCUCUCAUUACCUUGUUCUGUUUGUAGGAGCCUGCGCUCCAGACUCUGCCACCCUUUGGCCUCACUUGGGGUUUCUGGGCCAGAUCUCACCUGCCCUACUCUCUGGGUAUCCUGCCCGCUGCUGGGUGUGGUUGUCCAUCGCAGAGCCAGGUACGUUUUCCAGGAAUUGUCAUCUUCAGGAGGAGCCAGGCGUGGAUUUGGUCCUCAGAACUUAUUCGGAGCCUUUCCCUGGGACUUCCAGAAUCCUCUUGGGGCUUCGUUAUAUUGGUUUCUGAUGUGGAUGCUUUGGGUUGAGGCUUACGUUUUGACUGGUGGCCGUCCAGUGGAUCUGUUGAAGGCUUCAGAAGCGUGGAGGCUGACUUCCUGCACCACCUGCAAAGCGAAGACUUCAUCUGCAGGGUCCACUUGUCCUAGCUUCUUAGCUGACUGCCCUUGUGCUCAAACAGCUCUCUUUACCGUCAUCAGCUUAUGGCCUCCUCCUUUACAGUUGGAACUUGCCAACCUCCACAAUUGUGUGUCCUGAUUCCUCAAAAUUCCCUCUCUCCAUCCACUUCUGCCCCUGUCUCUCUCUCUCUCUCCUCUGUAGGGUCUGUUGCUUCCCGUGUAUCUCUGAGGAAUCCUGACUACACAGUAGCCAUCAUUUUCAGUAAGAAAAGAAUCUUUUUUUGCAGGGCCUGGUAAGUGGAGAUAUCCAAGUGCUUGGAUGGACUGUCUUCUAGAGGUCUUUGUGAGCAUCUGGUAAUUGUGGUAGUAACAGAACCACUAACCAGUUUAAUUGCCAGAUCCUUUUAAUAUUUGAAUGUUUCUCCUACAUCAUGCACAAUGGCUUCCUACAAUCUUAGGUGUUUUAAAAGCUUUACAUCCCUGAGGGGAGAACAAUUUGCCGUAUUAGCAUUGUACUCUUGACUGUUGUGUCUAUGAGCAAUUAAAGGCCUUCAAGAAGGACAUGGGCUUAUGAGUUGAGAGAAGCUGACAUCAACCUAAAGUGGUAAAGGAGGAGUGUGAUUAGAAAAGUACUAGUUCAUCAAUGGUCAGUUCUUUAGUGUUUUGAUAUUGUUGUUUCCUCCUACAGGAAGUUACAACCUGUAACCACUGGGACUCAGAAUAACAAGGAUCCCCUUUUGUAUCAAGACUGUUACCUAUGGAACCGUCAAUCUUUGUCUAAUUUCACCUCCUCAUGGCUGGCAAAAGCCCAAUUGAAAAUCUUAUGGCCA
This 1548-nucleotide long non-coding RNA is filed under the name Fukomys damarensis (Damara mole-rat). Its description in RNAcentral is "lncRNA (ENSFDAG00000023237.1)". Lineage: Eukaryota; Metazoa; Chordata; Mammalia; Rodentia; Bathyergidae. The record is from RNAcentral.